GAUGAAGAACGUAGCGAAAUGCGAUAAGUAAUGUGAAUUGCAGAAUUCAGUGAAUCAUCGAAUCUUUGAACGCACAUUGCGCCCCUUGGUAUUCCGAGGGGCAUGCCUGUUCGAGCGUCAUUAUAACCCCUCAAGCUCAGCUUGGUGUUGGGGCCUGCCGCACGGGCAGCCCUUAAAAUCAGUGGCGGUGCCAUCUGGCUCUAAGCGUAGUAAUUCUUCUCGCUAUAGAGUCCCGGUGGAUGCUUGCCAUUAACCCCCAAUUUUCUAUGGUUGUCCUCGGAUCAGGUAGGGAUACCCGCUGAACUUAAGCAUAUCAAUAAGCGGAGGA
Molecule: unclassified non-coding RNA, 328 nt
Filed under: soil metagenome
Description: partial contains 5.8S ribosomal RNA, internal transcribed spacer 2, and large subunit ribosomal RNA
Rfam family: 5.8S ribosomal RNA (bases 1-120)
Source: RNAcentral